RNAcentral lists this ribosomal RNA (288 nucleotides) under uncultured Acholeplasma sp. RNAcentral's name for it is "partial 16S ribosomal RNA". It matches the Rfam family "Bacterial small subunit ribosomal RNA", at positions 1094 to 1381 of the family's 1533-position model. Lineage: Bacteria; Bacillati; Mycoplasmatota; Mollicutes; Acholeplasmatales; Acholeplasmataceae. The record is from RNAcentral.
GAGCGCAACCCUUACUUUGCUAGUUACCAUCAUUAAUUUGGGGGACUCUAGCGAGACUGCCAGUGAUAAACUGGAGGGAAGGUGGGGGAUGACGUCAAAUCAUCAUGCCCUUAUGACCUGGGCUACAAACGUGAUACAAUGGCUGAACAAAGGGCAGCGAAGGAGCGAUCUGGAGCGAAACCCAAAAAGCAGUCUCAGUUCGGAUUGAAGUCUGCAACUCGACUUCAUGAAGUCGGAAUCGCUAGUAAUCGCGGAUCAGAACGCCGCGGUGAAUACGUUCUCGGGUUU